CCCUUAGAUGUUCUGGGCCGCACGCGCUACACUGAUGCAUUCAACGAGUGUACCUUGGCCGAGAGGCCUGGGCAAUCUUUUGAACGUGCAUCGUGAUAGGGAUAGAUUAUUGCAAUUAUUAAUCUUGAACGAGGAAUUCCUAGUAAACGCAGAUCAUCAAUCUGCAUUGAUUACGUCCCUGCCCUUUGUACACACCGCCCGUCGCACCUACCGAUUGGAUGGUCCGGUGAAGCCUCGGGAUUGUGGCGGUUGCCUUUAUUGGUGUCCGCCGCGAGAACUUGUCUAAACCUUAUCAUCUAGAGGAAGGUGAAGUCGUAACA
This 320-nucleotide ribosomal RNA is filed under the name uncultured eukaryote. RNAcentral describes it as "partial 18S ribosomal RNA". It matches the Rfam family "Eukaryotic small subunit ribosomal RNA", at positions 1470 to 1796 of the family's 1831-position model. The record is from RNAcentral.